GGCCUACGGGAGGCAGCAGUGAGGAAUAUUGGUCAAUGGUCGGGAGACUGAACCAGCCAAGCCGCGUGAGGGAGGAAGGUACAGAGUAUCGUAAACCUCUUUUGUCAGGGAACAAAGACUGGGACGCGUCCCCGGAUGAGUGUACCUGAAGAAAAAGCAUCGGCUAACUCCGUGCCAGCAGCCGCGGUAAUACGGAGGAUGCGAGCGUUAUCCGGAUUUAUUGGGUUUAAAGGGUGCGUAGGCGGGACCUUAAGUCAGCGGUAAAAUUGCGGUGCUCAACGCCGUAGAGCCGUUGAAACUGGGGG
This 305-nucleotide ribosomal RNA is filed under the name uncultured bacterium. RNAcentral's name for it is "bacterial SSU rRNA". It matches the Rfam family "Bacterial small subunit ribosomal RNA", at positions 335 to 639 of the family's 1533-position model. The record is from RNAcentral.